GACGAACGCUGGCGGCGUGCUUAACACAUGCAAGUCGAACGGAAAGGCCCUGCUUUUGUGGGGUGCUCGAGUGGCGAACGGGUGAGUAACACGUGUGUAACCUGCCCUUGACUUUGGGAUAACUUCAGGAAACUGGGGCUAAUACCGGAUAGGAGCUCCUGCUGCAUGGUGGGGGUUGGAAAGUUUCGGCGGUUGGGGAUGGACUGGCGGCUUAUCAGCUUGUUGGUGGGGUAGUGGCUUACCAAGGCUUUGACGGGUAGCCGGCCUGAGAGGGUGACCGGCCACAUUGGGACUGCGAUACGGCCCAGACUCCUACGGGAGGCAGCAGUGGGGAGUAUUGCACAAUGGGCGGAAGCCUGAUGCAGAAACGCCGCGUGCGGGAUGACGGCCUGCGGGUUGUAAACCGCUUUAGCCUGUGACGAAGCGUGAGUGACGGUAAUGGGUAAAGAAGCACCGGCUAACUACGUG
RNAcentral lists this ribosomal RNA (468 nucleotides) under uncultured bacterium. RNAcentral describes it as "partial 16S ribosomal RNA". It matches the Rfam family "Bacterial small subunit ribosomal RNA", at positions 28 to 507 of the family's 1533-position model. The record is from RNAcentral.